RNAcentral lists this ribosomal RNA (260 nucleotides) under Fletcherodrilus unicus. RNAcentral's name for it is "partial 12S ribosomal RNA". The record is from RNAcentral. Lineage: Eukaryota; Metazoa; Annelida; Clitellata; Crassiclitellata; Megascolecidae.
UCUUAUAAAACCAGGGGAACCUGUAUCAUAACUCGAUAGUCCACGAUUAACUCAACCCACUUUUGUAAACACAGCCUGUGUACUGCCGUUGAAAGCACACCUCUAAAAGCAGUGUGCUACUAUGAUUAAACACCAAUAAACCUAGUUUAACUCAUAUACAUCAGGUCAAAGUGCAGCUAAUGAGGGGGUGAUUAUGGGUUACAACCUAAAAAAAGAAAUAGAUUAAAAAUUUAAUAACUUUUAUAAAGUGGACUUGGCUG